GUUGCAGUGGUGGGGGAAGGGGGUCUGCUUCAUGAGACAGUGGGGUGGACAUUACUGGUCUCCUCUACCUUUACAGUGGACUUUAGCAUUUUCCUAAAAGUCUGAAGUCUGUUAUAAGGUACUAGGGAGUGGUUCAUCAAGGGAUACCUUAAAGAUGUGCACGAUUUGUGGAUGCUUCUGGACUAAAUUUCUAAUGCAUGGAAGUGGAUUUUAUGGCCUGACUUGCAGGGGCACACUGUAUUAGAAUUGGGAUAGAGAAAUGGCUCUGUGUCAUCUAAAAUGAGUCAGACAUUUCACUCCUAAAGGAAAUUGAGAGAACGGAGUAAGAUUUAAAAGUGCUCAAUUAAGUAGAUGUUGUUUUCACUGCCAGCUACUCAGCCUUUUUAUUCCUUAGUUUUUCAGUUGCAAAGUAAAAAGUUUUCCUUCAAAACUUAAAUUUCUCCUGGAAAUCUUUCCAGUAUUCCUUACUAUUCCUACCCCCUCCCCCCCCCACCUUUUUUUGGGGGGGGGGGAGGAGGGGAGGGAGCAGGGAGAGAUACUGAAAUUAUUUUGAUCAUUUAUGAUUUGUUACUUCCUUUUUGGACUGAAUGAACUACAAACUUUUAUCUCUGCAUCUGUUUGUCUUGGUCUUUCCAGAUUUUUGCAGACUAGCAAGAAGAAACUUUGUGACUUUGUCACAUUGACAAAGUUUUACAAAGUUCCACAGUGGAGAAAGGUGGGAAAAAAAAUACAAAGAGAACGGUAAAAUGAAAGCAUAAGAAGGACAGCUUCAACAUUCACCUUGCCAAAUGAGAAACUUUGAAAAUGAGCUAAGAUGUAGCUUUUCUGGCACUAAGGAAGAAAAGCUGAAUUCUGCCACUGAUGUUUUUUUUUGGUGUGUUCUUCUGUACGAGCCAGUACAUAUGUAUCUGCUGUCAGAAUUUGGGCCACUGGGCCAUACUGCUUUUCAAAGUGAAAUGUCCUUUUCUGAAACGAGUUCCAUGGUGCCUUCAGUGGCAUCCUCCAGUCCUGUUUUAUAUCCACAUUUGAAAAUAGACCAUUUCAAUGAACAUAAAAAUUCCCAGAAAAAUACCCAAGUGUUGUAUGUACAAAUUAAGAAUUUGAGCAGAAUUAUUUGCUUUUAAAUGAAGACGGAUUUCACCUUGCUGUUUCCAAUUAGAAUAAUAAUAAACAUUUCCCCUAAUGAUAACAACGGGCAAUAGUGUUAAAGUGGAAAUGCAAAAGCUUUUUCUUUUGGUACAGUGUAAGUUACAGUAUCAUUAAAUAUAUAAUCAGCUCUUUAUUGCUUGUGUUAUUUUUGAGGCACUUAAAUGAAAAGUUGAUUUGUCUGUUAUUAGAACUCAAUAAAUGGUCCUUUAAUAGUCAUAGGGUGUUUUAAUGCUUUACAGAAUCAUUGUCAUUAAAUUGAACACAAGAGAGUGAACUUAAAUAAAAGCGAAGUGGAAAAACUCAAUAAAUCAGGAUAAUACAAGGUUUUCUUUGUGUUGUCUGAAUUGUGCUGAAAUGGUUCUGCCUUUUAAGCUGCUUUUCAAAGGCCAAAGCUGCAUAAUUGCUUUAGGGCUUGAUUAUGCCUGCAUGAGUCAGCUGUUAGACUGUGGCCAUUAAAAGACACUUCUUUUUUCUCUAGAGAAAUUUGAGAAUGGAUUUUGCUGUGGCAUUGGUGGACUUCCCCCUGAAACCAUGGCCAGCUUUUCAUGGCACUGUAGACAUGCAGCUGGAUGGGACCUGUAGAAGUCACCACAUUCUUCUGGCUGGAAGGAAGCAGGAUGAACUACAUCAUAUCGCAGCAGAAGUUCUAGAGAAUUACAAAGACAUGAUGAUGGAUCUUGCUGUACUUCAUUGGAGCUUACUGUACUUUGUUGGAACUCAGCUAGAAGGAUUCUUCUCAUCAGCUUUCGUGAUGUGCUGAAUCAUAAGAAAGAAAGAAAGGACUAUGGCCGCAGCAGACCAAAUGGCGGAGAGGACAGCCUGAACUCCAGCUCAUGGAGCUAAUAGGAACAGUUUCUGCAAAGCUUUGACUAUGUUUUCUGGGAGCUGACAAUACAAGACAGACACAAUUUUUUCAUCAGUAAUCCUCUUGUAGUGCCUUAAAUAUCUAAGAGUAAAAAUGUAAAGGAAGACAACAUACAGUUAAAAGCCAGGUACCCUAUACCAAGUUCUCCUUACAGCCAGUGUCACAACUUAAUGACCUGCAUGCCAUUUAUCCUCCACUCCCAGAUUGCUGCUCCAUUUGUCUUGGUCACAUACAAGCAUUGUUCCUCUUCUCCUGCUAUAAUUGCUGCCAAGUUUUGGGCCUGAUCUGCCAAAGCUGAAAUAAAUUCUCCUUUUGUCUUAGGUUUGUAUCAGGAUCUCUGGGACAGGGAAGGGAAUUUAAUCUUUGGAUUGCAGAAGAGAAAAGCCAAACUACCAAUAAACCUGGACUCUUUCAACUGAUGACUAUUGUGGGAGUGUAUAUCGGACCCCAUGCUGUCACAGAUCACAUAAGACUUUUUCUCCUUCCUUUUUCCUCUUUCAUCUAAUUUGAGAAAAGCAGAUAUUUUUCUCUCUUGAUGCAGAAGUAGCACAUUUUCUGUCUUCCAGCAGCAUACAAAGCAAAGCCAUUAAAACAGCCAAAGACCAUCAAAAGGCAGCAUGGCAGGGCAGUAAAAAUGAGUCCACCUCUGUCCCGGAAAUAGCCCAAUUUUAUUUCCUACCUGCCACAUUGCCAUAACAAAUGGGAACACCUUUGACCAUAUCUACAGACCUGUGGGAAGGGCAUUCCUUAUUUCUCCACACAGUUCAGCACGAAAAUUGAGCUUAGCCUCUGUGCAGUCAAAGCUCUUUUAUUUAUUUUUUUUCCUUUCUGCCCCCUUGUCCAUUAUUAAUCAGGAGAUUUAUUAUUGCUUGGGCUGGAUUUUUAUUGCAUUAGCUACUCAGGGUCAGCACUUGGCUGCUCACAGUCUGCAGUAAAGCACCUGCCCUCUCUGCUAGAGGUAAAAUCUGAUCUUAAAUGAAAACCCAGCCUAAAGAUAAAGAUAUUUUCUCCAUUUAUUAUUCUUACUGUACUUAUCCCAUACAAUUCUGUGAACAUUGGAGGCUGUAAAGUCAGUCUGGGGGCUGGACAGUCAGAAUCUUGCUUUUGAUGGGUACAAAUUCCAAUUCCAUGAUAUUUUCUUCAUUCUUCUUCAGUUAAAGAGAUGUAUAGGUGUUAGGACACUACUGAACUGCAAUCCCAUGUGCAAGGCACAGUGUAAUAUCAUGUUUUGCUGAGGUAUACUUCUUAAGGCAUGUAUCUACAAGAAUUGAAAGAAAUGUAUUCAAUCUGAAUAAUGAAAUCUGAAUAAUGAAAUACAAAAAUGUUAUUUUAACUAGACAGUUUAAAACUUUGUAUGACCUUGCGGCUGACAGCCUAGUCUGUGUUGGAGGGAUCAGGGCUGUAUCCUGCCACUGCUCCAAAGUAACACUGAGCCACCCUAUGUCCUCUCUUCUCCUUUUCCUCUCUUGGAUUGUUGCUGUCUCCAUUCGUAUGUACAAUGGGAUGCAAUGGAACACCGAUUAGGCUAUAUUGUAAUAGAAAUUGUGGGUGGAUAAAACAACAACUUUUUUUUGUUUGCUUAUUUGCUUUACCUGAGUAACCCUUUAAUUCUGAUAACUGUAGAGAGGAGUUUAAAAAUCCUGGAGCUCAAAACGUAAAAUCCAAAAGGCAAAUCAAGCGAAAUCCUUCUCCCCUCCAUUUUGAAACCAUUGGCUCAUGGAAAUUUGAUUUGCAGUUUUACUGCAACUGCAGUCCAAGAACCUGAAGUGAAAUUCUUUUUUAUUCUAAAUAAAAGGAAAUCUGGCCUAUGAAGGGAAGUCAAGCUCAGACAUCUCUGUUCUCUUCUGCCAAGCUUGGAGAGCCAUGAAGGUGGCUUUGUGCUGCUGUCUGUCUUGUUUCUACAUCUUCUUUUGAUCUACUGGGCAUGGUAAUGAAAGCCUACUUGGGAACGGUGCUUCUCCACCAGCCAAAAAGCAGACCAUCCCAGCUGACACCAGAAACACCAAUGCGCGGAAGUGGGACUAUGGCAGUACCGACCCCCUUGUGAGGCAGCACAGAUCUACAUGGGCUGAAGAUCCAUCCUGUCAGUCACCCCUGGUAUACUGCUGGUUAAUGCUAGCAGGACAUCUGCGUCUCAGGUAAAGGAACAACACCUCCAGGCUCUCUCUUAGCAUUUCAAAGAGCACAAGCAUAUGCCACAAUUAUAUAGUGCUGCUGAGAAAAAACAGCAUGUGAGUGAAUCCCUAUUCUUAGCAGAGCAAGUGCUGGGUCUCACACAUGGAAUCCACCAGAGCCCUGCUGCAAACGGCUACCGCUGCCCUUCCCUUGCUUCUGCCCAGUGACCAGAGAUUGCAUCCUGCUCUAUUGUUCUCCAGCUGCCUGAGAAAGCCAAGCACAACAAAAGUGUCAGCCAGAUUGGCCCUGAUGCAUGUCAUAUGCUUUUCUGCACCCGUGAACUGCCUGCUUCUCUCACCAGCCUUGCUGUCAUUCAUUGUGAAGAGCAGGUGCAUUAGCAUCUUUGUGUAAAGGUGUAACUGUUGUUCACUGAGAGGAGGAUUGUCUCUGCACCUCUCUCCUUCUCACCACCUGUCCAGAAUGUGUCAUAUAGUGGCUGUAAAGGACUUCUUGUAAAUAAUUUCCCUGCAGGUGGAAGAUGCCCCAGAACUCACAUUACUCACACUUGUUAAAGCUGAGCAAAGAGCAAAAUAUCCCUCCACUGUCAUGAGGCUUUGGACUGGCUUUCCUCACUCUGUAGCCAGCUAAAAGCACUCUCUGACUCCACAUUUCAGGAUGAAGAAGAUUCUUGCAUGUCCCAGAAAGGCUCCUGAGCCCUAUUCCUGCUCCUCCAAGGUACAGAAAUUUUUAGGAUGGAGCAAAUCUCCAUUUUACUACCACACAAUUUUGGACAUGCUAAGAUCAGUCUAUAAAACUUAUCAUUAAUUAUCCAGUUGAUCCAGGAACUCACCUGGGAUCUGCUUUGUCAAGUUAUAUCCCUUCAUUUCUUUAAUUUAUCAGUCAUCGGAGCUUUACAUUUCUGUAUCAGUGGACAGAUGAGUUAAGGCACUGAGAUCCUUAACCUGUGCAUAAGGAAGCCACAGGCAGUUGUUAGGUGCCUGUGCUGAGUCAGGUGCCCAAAUACUUGGAGGUAAUCUAAGGUACGUGCUUGUUUGGGUUAAAAUGUGUUCUCAGCGGCAGAGUCACACAGCAUCUGGUGCAAUUUAACCUUGAUCACAAGCAGCCUUGUGAGAGAAGGCAUGGGUUGCACUCCUGCUAUUGUGAGCCAAUAAUACUAUAUAACUAAUAAAUAUAUUUACUUUCACCGGGCUAUUAAGUAGCUAUUUUCCUUUGAGUUUGAUCCUCAGUCAAGACACAAAACUUAAGGGCAAAGUGUUAUUAUUGCUAAACAUUAGUGAAGAGAUUACCUUUCUGUAAAGUAACCUCAGCUCUGCCCUGAAUAAAGAACCUCAUCAAAGCAUUGCACAUCACUCUUCAGUUCUGCCAUCCAGGCAAGUCCAGCCAACACCACUGGGAGAUGUUCCGUUUGCCCUGGUGUCCUUCCACCUUGUCAUUUUUAUUUUUGCUGUCAUUUGAACGCAGCUCAGAUUAAUCUCUUGUGAAUUUCAUUAAAUGCAGGUUCAAUCUGACUCCUUCUUGCCACUGCCAUUCUGAGAGUAAAAGCACCUCUUGUGAGAACAUAAAUUGGAUCCCCACAGCUACAGGAAAGACAUGAGAGCCUGCUGUGGCAGUACAGCCCUGCUCUGCCCUUUUCAUCUCCUACCAGUGCAUCUCCUGAAAAGUCCUGCUGUCGCGGCGAGGACAAUGUUGUUGAGGCAGAAACAGGAGGAAGACAAAAGGGUGAGGUUUGAGUUGAAGAAAUAUUCUCAGGAAGGGGCAUCCCAGGGACAUAUGCAUGCAGAAAGAUACAAGCCAGUAUCUGCAUGAGAACAAGGAAGAUGAUGAGUGGAGUAAGACAAGGAUCAAAGGCAAAGACAAAGCAGACUGUGAUUGUUUGCCACCCCAGCACCUAGAUGAGCACCGAGGGAGUUUGUCUGCAGGAGCUUCCCAGAGUCACGGUGGCACAGAAGGAGUCACCAGUCAUUUGCAGAUGGAGCUAUGAGGAUUUUUAUGAAUAGAUUCAGCUGGAAAAGGUCUGCAGUUGAGGAGGUUUGCAGUGAUGACUGGCACAUUGCAUUGUCCUAAGCUGAACCCUUCAUUUCAUCCAUCCUUAGAAGAGAGAAGCAAGUUACUUCACAACAUUGCAGCCUGUUACUCUCUCAUACAUGUCUUCGGAAGCUUCUGGGUGCAGAGACUGCCCUUAGCACACUAUUACUGCCUGUGACCAGAGGCCAAAUCCUCCCCUAUGCUUUUUUAGGACUGGAUGGCAUAAACUUCACAUGUACCACGAGCUUCCCAAUAUUUGUGGUGUAAUCUGAGGAUGAAUAGUACAGUCCAACUGCAAAAAUAGUGAGAACAUUGCUUGGAUGACAUAAUACUGGUAAAGAUCUUUCAAUGACCUGUCACAACAUGAGCUCCCAGCAGCAAUAGGGAAAACGCUGAUUUAGGCUGGAGGUGGUUGAAAGCUCACUCCUUUUAUUCUUCUUUCCAAGUCCUGUUAAAAAGAAGGAGUAAGAGGACCUCCUGAGUCUUCCCAAAAUCCAGUUCUUUGCAGUGCCAGAAGCAUCACUCAUGUCAUGCAAGAAGGAAGACUGAGAGAGUCCUGAGCUCCCUUCAUGGAACAAUGGUCUUUAUCCCCUUACCUGAAAACUGAGAGAUGUAAUAAUCUCUCCACUUCUGUUCUGGCAGGCUACUCUUCUACCACCAAGAUCACUUGGAGAGAUAUGCCCAAGCUUGCAUAACGAGACUCUGGAAGAACCAGGCCUGCAAGCUUGUCUGUACUGUUCUCUGUGGAGGAAAGGACACCAAAUGAAGAAUUUUUUCUUCUAUAAAUGCAAGAUCAAAAAGCUCUUUCUUCUCUUCCCUUCUGCUGGUGAAUACAGCUCAGAGUCUCUGUGCAGGAUUGCCAGCAAAAUUUAUUCAAAGAUGUCAGAAAUUCUGAGCAGUUCCAGUUGCUCAUCAUCACAACCACUGAUGCCAUACACCUCACUGGGCAUUCGGUUUCCUUUUGGGAAAUUCACUGUCUUCUCUUGGAAGUGUUACAGAGACAACUGAGGAAGAUGUAUGGAAUUUAUUACUUCUUUUCCCUAUUCCAGUACACUCCAGGCCUAUUAAGUAUUGGCAAAGUUCUGGAACAUUUCUGUGUGUUGACUUAGGUGACCAGUUUGAUCUAGGAGCUUCCAAUGCUAGAGUGAAAUCCUGACUAGUAAAGCUACUACUGAAAUUCAUGUAUUACAUGGGACUAUGCCAAGCCUAAGUCAGUCGAAAAUCUACUUGCUUUGAAGCCUUCAUGAUUACAGCAGGAUUCCAAAGGCAAUACAACGUGGAUUAAAUUUUCAGUAACUUCACAUGCCUUCUAAGCUUCCUCCAAAUUUCCAUGGAUUCUGGAGUACCAGGAAUGCAGAGAGGGAAGUAUAAGGGACUGGCAUUUUUGUAAAAUAAUCCUUGUUUGGAUGUACAAAGAGAAGCCUGAAGAAGUAUUCAGGUGACUCUACCACCUCCCUGGGCUGCCUGUUCCAGUGCCUGACUGCUCUUUUGGAGAAGAAUUUUUUCUCAGCAUCCAACCUGAUGUGCUCUGUGUGGGACUGAAGGGACGUGCGGUGCGAUUACUGCCUCCUGCUCUUCUGCACAGCUCCUGUUGCAGUGCUCAGGAGCCUCAGAUCUGUGCUCAAGGUGCUGUAGCUGGAAAAUGGUAACGGAGGAGCUGUGACACCUGUGCCGUGGGGACUGUAGUAGUCCUUCUCUUCUGAGAACCAGGCCCUACUCCUUAUAUUAUGAAGGCAUCUUCUGCACACAGUCUGCAUUGCUUGAUUUAUACACAAUCAUCUGGAGGGCCUCCACCCUUCUAUCUGUCAUCCCAAGAUGAGGUGUGGACAAUCCACUCUCCCAGUGGGAAAUUAAAGCAAUGUCUACAGGUCUUAAGAAAUGAAGAUCUAGUUUUUCCUUCGUGUGAGACUCCGUGGCUUACAGGAGGAGAAAGUCCACGUCCUACAGAUGAUGGGAUAUGAGAAAGCAACAGAAAAGGAAAGAAAAAAAGAAAGCAAUUCUGCAAACUGAGUUAUUACAAAUAUUGCAAGACUCAAAAUAAAUUGAAGCCUGGCACUACUGCAUGUUUUUGAAGUGGGAGGAGGUGAGACCUUCCUGCAAGCCCAGGAGCAGUGACUCUGUAUUUACUUCUGUAUUAUUGCUUCCUCAGUGUGGAGAAGAGAUCCUUUUAUUUUAUUUUAUUUUAUUUUUAAUUAUUAUUUUUUUAAAGAAACAGUGGAAAAAGUGUGUGUUCUGUACUUCAGUAAUGAUGAUUCACAAUGUGAUAUCAAAUAUUUAUGUACUUUAGGACAUCUGGAAAAUACUGACUGGAAAAUUAAGAUGAGAUUAAUGUUCCUCCUGAUGUUUUUAUCUUUUUCAUGCUUCAUCAUCAUGCCCACUGUACCAUGAGAUCAACAAGAUUAGAUAUCUUUGUAACCUGCUCACCAGCAGAUUGUGAUAUUCAGUCUGAGACAAGAAGCUAAGAACAACUGACCUGCAAGACUAAGACUAUGAUGUUGUGGCUCUGUAACCCUCUGCUGGACUAAACCUGAAAUUUGCUGAGCUGAACCUCACUGUGUGGUGUGCGUGGACAUCUUCAGAAGGCAAAGAGCAGAGCAAGCCAUUGCUUCUGCUGACAGCACUGGAAAGUCUUCUUCAGGAAAGGCUCUGGGUCUCUGAAAGCAUGGGGGAAAGUUCAUCUGGAAAAUGAGACCUCACCUGAAGCUCCCCCUCCUUACAGUUCUGCUUCUUCCUCUCCUGCUCAAGUCAUCCCCAUCAGCCUCUGAAGCAAAACACUGCACACAGAAUGAUGCAACAGAAGCAGAAGGGGUAUCUUCAGAGAAUGGUGACAGCAAAAGAGCAUUAAAUUAAGACUGUUGAUGCUGGUGGAAAUCAAUGCUGAAGAAGCAGCACCUCCCCUGCAUGCAUCGUGCUGCCAUUUGAAGAGAUCACAGCCAUCCCACAGUGAAAUAUGUCGGGGUAUGACAACGGCUGCCAGGAGAGCCCACUGCAGGAAAGGCAGUGUUCCACUUUGCUGCUUCAGGUCCCUUGUAUUAAGGGCAAUGCAGAAAAACACUGCUGCUCCUGUUGACCCAGUCCCCACGCUUUCUUCAGAGCUCUGUACUGCAAUGCUGAAAGGCUUUUAAGGUACCUUACAAAGACUUUUCUCACGCUGCGUCUGCACUACAGAAGUCUCAUAAGUUAUGUGUUCCACAGCCUGUUACUCCUUUCUACAACAAAGGCUGGGCUGGAGAGAUUUAUUGUGGCUGAAAAACAAAAAAAGGAGAGACAAAUAUCAGGUGUGCAUGUUUAUGAAUAUGGAAUUUAUGCAUUUUUUCAUAGAUAUGACUUACUAUUUUCCUAGCAGCUCUACCACAAGGGACCUCGGGGCUGUAGAUGGAGGCAAACAGCAUGCCUUAAUGUAAGAGAGAAAUCCUGCUAGCACUGUUCCAGAGUAAUUGGCAAAAUUAUGCAUUUGUGCCCCUUGGAAAGCCCAGCAUUGCAAAGCACCUUUUCAUCCCAAAUGAACACCUGAAUAACAUUUUUGAUAAUUUAUCCUGAAGCAAAUGCACAGUGUUUUUGAGAAGGUCGAACCUUUUUUGUUUUCUUUCACAUAGUGGUAAACAAUUUCACCUUUACUUUUUUGCCACAUAAUACAGUACAUCUGAGCAGCCUUUUCUAGCCUUAUAAAUACGACAGACUUCAUACCGUGUAGAAGAUUUUGAAUAAUUUACUCAUGAAAGUGUUUACAAAAUCUUCACAUUGCUGCAUGUUCCCACAAAUUGUUUAUAUGCAAAUAAAUCAACAUUUUUUUCCAUUAGAAA
This is an RNA transcript of Numida meleagris (helmeted guineafowl), 9978 nucleotides long. RefSeq lists it as uncharacterized. The record is from RefSeq and is a predicted model, not a curated record. NCBI's taxonomy places the organism in Eukaryota, Metazoa, Chordata, Aves, Galliformes, Numididae. The transcript has 23 exons.